UCUCCUUCCGUACAUAUCUCA
RNAcentral lists this non-coding RNA (21 nucleotides) under Caenorhabditis elegans. The record is from RNAcentral. Lineage: Eukaryota; Metazoa; Nematoda; Chromadorea; Rhabditida; Rhabditidae.